RNAcentral lists this ribosomal RNA (480 nucleotides) under uncultured bacterium. RNAcentral describes it as "partial 16S ribosomal RNA". It matches the Rfam family "Bacterial small subunit ribosomal RNA", at positions 28 to 507 of the family's 1533-position model. The record is from RNAcentral.
GAUGAACGCUAGCGGCAGGCCUAACACAUGCAAGUCGAGGGGUAGAAGGAGCUUUCUCCUUUUAGACCGGCGCACGGGUGCGUAACGCGUAUGCAAUCUACCUUGUACAGGGGAAUAGCCCAGAGAAAUUUGGAUUAAUUCCCCAUAGUAUAUAACCUUCGCAUGUUGGUUAUAUUAAAGUUCCGACGGUACAGGUUGAGCAUGCUUCACAUUAGUUAGUUGGUAAGGUAACGGCUUACCAAGACGAUGAUGGGUAGGGGUCCUGAGAGGGAGAUCCCCCACAAUGGUAAUGAGACACGGACCAGAAUGCGACGGGAGGCAGCAGUGAGGAAUAUUGGGCAAUGGUGGCUAGACUGAACCAGCCAUGCCGCGUGCAGGAAGCCGGUCCUAUGGAUUGUAAACUGCUUUUAUACAGGAAGAAACACUCACACGUGUGGGAGCUUGACGGUACUGGAGGAAUAAGGACCGGCUAACUCCGUG